Molecule: long non-coding RNA, 1081 nt
Organism: Myotis daubentonii (Daubenton's bat)
Lineage: Eukaryota; Metazoa; Chordata; Mammalia; Chiroptera; Vespertilionidae
Exons: 2
Source: RefSeq, a predicted model, not a curated record
GGCUCAGUCAGUCAGCCAAUCCCCAGCCUGCGGCGCAGUGAAGUCUCCGGGAGCGAGGGGGUUCCCCGGGUCCGCCCUCCGGAGCUGAACCUCGCGCCCCCUCGAGCCUGGAGCUGCCCUCUACCCGGCGGCCAAGCUCAGAGAGUAAAGAUCAGGAAGAAAGAGAUAGAAACAUCAAACAUGAGAGAGAAUCAUCAUUAUGGGUGGCCUCCUGCACGCCCCCGACUGGGCCCGCAACCCGGGCACGUGCCCCAUCGAGCCCUGACCCCCUGGGUCAUAGGUCAGUGCUCACCACUGACCAGCCAGCUGGACAAGGAGGGCUUUCUUUUUUCCCGUUUCCUUGUGGAAUAAAUGAAAACUACAAACUGCCACAAUGCGCUGAAGCACCUUCCCAACUCGUUUCUGGAAAAACCACACUUUAUUGGGUAGACAAACAGGCCUGACUUGAAGGCCUUAGAUUCAGUAACUGUGGAGGGAACAACAGCCGGCAAAAGUGUUUGACUCUGAACAAGGUGGCAGCUGCUGCUGAGGGCAGGGGACGGUCCGUCUGCCCCACUUUGGCCUCCUGUGUUCAGCCAGUGCCCCUCACUGGGCCAGCCAGACCUGGGGUGACUUUUUUUCACUGGGAAGAAGGUGAAUGCUCAGCAGCUGGGCCCUGAGAGGAGCCUGCCUCGCUGGUUAGGCCGGGAAUAAGAGGGUUAACACAGUGCUGCCAGCGCUAGUUAUGUGCCAGGUGCUGCCACACAGGAAGCUGAGACCCUCUGCUGGACUCUAGGAGCAGCUUGGGGGGGGGGGGGCUAUUUAUAGCCAGGAGCCUAGGCUGCUGACCUGGACAUUCCCUGCUGCCACCCAUCCGGGAGCAAGGCCAGUGCCAAGCACACUCCUCCCCUCCUCCCCGUCCUGUUCUUCCCUUACCCAGGCGGCCGGUGUGCUGCAAGGACUUUUUAAAAACAUGCAAUACCUGACUAUUUAGUCAGGGCCACUGACCUCUUUUCCCUGAAGUUGUCAAAUAAAAAUCUGACAACAGCCAACACAACAAUAGCCGUCCAGUGUGAAUGAUUCAAAACUAUACCUUUUUUUU